RNAcentral lists this long non-coding RNA (2838 nucleotides) under Mytilus galloprovincialis (Mediterranean mussel). The record is from RNAcentral. Lineage: Eukaryota; Metazoa; Mollusca; Bivalvia; Mytilida; Mytilidae.
GCCAAGUUCAUUAUAGAUAGAGAUAAUUUUAAGCAGCAAGAAUGUUUAGUAAAGUAAGAUGUGCAAACACAUCACCAUCAGCAAAACACAAUUUUGUCAUGAAUCCAUCUGCUUCCUUUAAUAUUCACAUAGACCAAGGUGAGCGACACAGGCUCUUUAGAGCCUCUAGUUAGAACUUUUUUUUACAAUUACCGGUACAACAAUCUUCAUUUUUGCUUCUUCAGAUUUCAUGGCAUUAAUAAUCAAUUGUAAAACAUGUGUAAGAAUGACGUACACACUUUUCUAAUAAUACCAUACUUAAUAUCUCUUACAUUUAUAUUUUCUUUAUAACAAGGUUGUGAGGCUUGAAAUUGGGCUAAAUAACAUAACAGUUUAAAGUGUUUCUAGUUGUUUAUUUGUACAAAAAAUAAUAUAAAAGGAUAAGGUUUGAUAAAAUACAUUCAAUUUUGUCCAGGCAAGGUUAAGAACAGUCAAAUUCUAUCAUCCCUUUAAAAUUAUAGUAAUGCUAUGAUCAAUUUAAUGCAGAAAAGUUUUCUGUGAUACGUAAAUGAAAACCUUGAUAUUAUUUCAUGUUUAUGCAAAAACAACUAAAUCCGUCGGUCUUAUUUCUGGAAGGCCAUGUACUGUAAAUUCAGAAAUUAUUGCGAUGUUUUAAUUAAUUCGAAAAAUGCUACAGGGUUACUAUUGCAAUAACUAAAACUCGCAGUUUGAAAUUCUUUAUAUGAAUUAAACAGGAUAUUUCUGAGUGUCCUCAAUAUCAAAAAUUGAAAUCGCAUUGUAUUCUAAAAAUCACAAUAAUAAAUGCACGCAAUGAUUUUUAAAUUUACAGUAUACAAAUUUAUAGAAUGCCUUUAAUGAAUAGAAAGCAGAAACCUCCCAUCAUCAAGCAUUUCUGUUCAUAUGCUUGCUUGGUGAAUAUGAUUGGCAACGAGGGAAAAUACUUUAAUAAAUAAUAAAUACCAGGUUCUUAGUUAGUGUAAAUCUCUCUUCUUGGAUGAAUAUCUGUUUAUAAUGUUAAUUAAAAUCAUGACGAAAAUUUUUAAUGUAGUUACUUUAGGAGAAAUAGUAUCAUAUUUGCCAGUUGAAAGAACAUUUUUAAAAAUGUUGAAGAUUUAUAUACUGAAAGCCUACAAUUGACAAAUACUUGUGUUUUAAUACAUGUAAGCAUAUAUUUUUUUAUACUUGCACUGCAAUCAUGAAUUUGAUUUGUUUAAAUUCCUUAGAAAGUUUUUAUUUAAUCCAAAGGUUGCACAAAAUUUGAAAGUAUUCAUUCGUAAAACUAUACAAACUCUGAUUAGGCUAGUUAAAAAAAACCUUUCAAUUUAGGAGUUAUAGCCAAAAAGGUAAUGGAAAGCUUCAUGGUGUCAUUGGAGUUGCAAAUGAAAAGCAUUCUUACAGUUAUUUGAUAUUUUAAAAUAUAUAAGUUUUCCCAACUUAAUGUGAAAUUAUCUUAUAGAGUAAUCCCCCCUUUCCCACACACUCGCUCUCACAUGUACACAUAUUUUGUGUCAUAUUGCAUCUAUUUUGAAACUAUGCAGUAUUGAUUAUUCUUCCUAAUUGAAUUGUGUUGUAGGUUUUAUAUGUGUAGGUAUGUUUUGUAAUAGUACAUGUCUAAUUCUAUCUACGUUUUAUGUAGUUGGAACAGCUCUGUGCUCUACUAGAUUGUACUGGUACAUACCAUUAAAAAAUUCGAUGACAAAAGAAGAAAAAACAACUUUUUGUGUGCAUUCUGAUAUUAUUUAUUUGUACCCUCACUUAGGAGUGGGGGCUAUAUUGCAUUCUCCUUGAGGAUCAGUCAUCUGUUUGUUAAACGAAUAUUUCCAUCAUCCAUUUCUAAGGGACUGACAGAUUGACCUAUGGUCAGCCACUUGAGAGUGAUAAAUGGUAACACAUAGGCACUUUUCAGAUCUGAUGGACACCUCCUUCCUGUUUACUGGUGCUUUGAAUGUUUCAAUAUGUUGAAAGGAAUUAGUCACCCAUUUCUCCAGGACUAUUGAAUAGCAGACUUCAUAUUUGGUCAGCAGCUAAGCAGUAAAAAGUUGUAAUGUGCGAGUACUUUUGGACACCUACAGUAACUCCUAUUUUCAGAUACUGAAUUUUUCAGUAGGUUAUGUUUAGCACUACAAAAUGUGCUGUUAUAAUAUUUGAAUAUUAACUUAAAACUAACUUAAUCAGUUAUCAUUAUCAUGAAGCUACUGAAAAUGAUAUCUGGUCUCAAUUACCAUGUUAAGUUUUAGAAAAUUGACUUAAAAUACAAGAAACAAAACAGAAUAAUUUGAAAAGAACAACCCAGAAACAAUAAGGGAUUACAAUAACAAGAACUCCAACAAAACUGAUAUUUACAAUUAUUUAGGAAUAUAAAGAUUUCAAAACAGCUAUUGUAUUAUUCUUGGUUGGGUAACUUAGGUUGCUGUUGUUUUUUUCUUCACACAAAUGCAUAUUAUCCUUGAAUUUUCAUUCUUCAUGUACUUUACUAGUUGGGUCUAUUCAGAAAAGGGGGCCUCUCCAAUCUCCAACCAAUUACCACAGAGUUUUAUUCUGUACUAAUUCAGGAAUUGAGUAUUAAUAAAUGAACGUUUUUUUUAAAUCUUAGUUUUUGAAAGACACUUUCUUUAUGCAAUAUUAAUUAAAUAAGAACAUUAGAUAACAACAUUUGUCAACAAUUCCACCAAUGUUUGAUUGCUUAUAUACUCCUGAAUAAAUGAAAUAGCUAAAAUUUGCUUAGCUGCUUCAAACUUUAGGAUGUUCUUUCAACAGGCGAGAUAUGUUCAAUUAAUAAGUCCUGUCACCUGAAUGAUACCAUGAAAUAUGUUUACAAAUAAUACUAUUUUACAACAA